RNAcentral lists this ribosomal RNA (901 nucleotides) under Septoria chelidonii. RNAcentral describes it as "LSU rRNA". It matches the Rfam family "Eukaryotic large subunit ribosomal RNA", at positions 35 to 965 of the family's 3401-position model. The record is from RNAcentral. Lineage: Eukaryota; Fungi; Ascomycota; Dothideomycetes; Mycosphaerellales; Mycosphaerellaceae.
UAAGCAUAUCAAUAAGCGGAGGAAAAGAAACCAACAGGGAUUGCCCUAGUAACGGCGAGUGAAGCGGCAACAGCUCAAAUUUGAAAUCUGGCGCAAGCCCGAGUUGUAAUUUGUAGAGGAUGCUUCUGGGUAGCGACCGAUCUAAGUUCCUUGGAACAGGACGUCAUAGAGGGUGAGAAUCCCGUAUGUGACCGGCCCGCACCCUUUACGUAGCUCCUUCGACGAGUCGAGUUGUUUGGGAAUGCAGCUCUAAAUGGGAGGUAAAUUUCUUCUAAAGCUAAAUACCGGCCAGAGACCGAUAGCGCACAAGUAGAGUGAUCGAAAGAUGAAAAGUACUUUGGAAAGAGAGUUAAAAAGCACGUGAAAUUGUUGAAAGGGAAGCGCCUGCAACCAGACUUCGCGGCAGGGUUCCGCCGGUCUUCUGACCGGUUCAUUCUCUGUCGCGAGGCCAUCAUCGUCUGGGCCCGCCGGAUAAGACCUUAGGAAUGUAGCUCACCUUCGGGGGAGUGUUAUAGCCUAGGGUGAUGCGGCGAGGCUCGGGCGAGGUCCGCGCUUCGGCAAGGAUGAUGGCGUAAUGGUUGUCGGCGGCCCGUCUUGAAACACGGACCAAGGAGUCUAACAUCUAUGCGAGUGUUCGGGUGUCAAACCCCUACGCGUAAUGAAAGUGAACGGAGGUGGGAACCGCAAGGUGCACCAUCGACCGAUCCUGAUGUCCUCGGAUGGAUUUGAGUAAGAGCAUAGCUGUUGGGACCCGAAAGAUGGUGAACUAUGCCUGAAUAGGGUGAAGCCAGAGGAAACUCUGGUGGAGGCUCGCAGCGGUUCUGACGUGCAAAUCGAUCGUCAAAUUUGGGUAUAGGGGCGAAAGACUAAUCGAACCAUCUAGUAGCUGGUUCCUGCCGAA